GGCGCGGAGAAGCGGGACUCCCGGGGCGCUCCUCCGGGGCUGGUGAAACGGCAGCACCGGGCCGGGAGGAUUCUCAGUCCUCGCGCCUGGCGCACUCGGGCCCCACCCGCUCGGGUCGGAGGGUAUGAUUGGCUCUCUGGAACGCCAGUCACAGCUCGGCGCCCGGCCCGGGGCACAGAGCCCCACCCUCCCGCUUGGACCAGGCAGGGCUGCUCUCCGCUCUCCCGGGAGGAGCGCCGUCCCGCCGUGACCCGGGCUGUUCGGCCUCAGCGUGGUUCCCCCACGCACCUGCUCGCCCCUGCCCAGGGCCCAUGAAAGGAGCCGGACGGGCACUUCUAGUAGUUAUCGGGUUCCAGAUGCCACAGCACGAAGUGGGAACUCAGAAAGGAAAUUGCCUGCCUUUGACUUGAUCAGUGCGAAUCUUGACUAAGGCUGGAAUCCUCCCCGUGGGCGGGUGGAAGAGAGAAACCUGGAGUCACUGGCACCACGGAUGUGGAAAGGUCUCAGUUGCGGCGUAAGGGAUCUAGUUCCCUGAACAGGGAUUGAACCCAGGACCUCUGCAUUGGGAGCAUGGAGUCUUAGCCACUGGACCACCAGGGAAGUCCCAGAAAGGAUGUUAAUUUCUGGUGAGCCAGGAUCAUUGAUGAACUUCGGGUGUCUCAGAGAAAAUGAGAUUUCAUCCACAGUGAAAAGCCCUAUCAGCAAAUCUCUGAGAAGGAAUUAGACUUUAUAGCAACCACCGCUCAAACCACUUCGAAGCCACUUCUGUGUCAGGAACUUCACCUUUUUUAACGCUGCUUCUCCAAAGCCAGUUGCUUUUCUUGUCACCUUUGCCAGUGAAAUGAAUGGAGGGGAGAUUCCCAUUUCCUCCUGUUGCUUAACUGUGAAUUGAAGUCUCAGCUGCAUGGAUUUGAUUUAUUAAAAUUUUUUUAACUUA
This is a long non-coding RNA of Bubalus bubalis (water buffalo), 937 nucleotides long. RefSeq lists it as uncharacterized. NCBI's taxonomy places the organism in Eukaryota, Metazoa, Chordata, Mammalia, Artiodactyla, Bovidae. The transcript is spliced from 3 exons. The record is from RefSeq and is a predicted model, not a curated record.